Molecule: ribosomal RNA, 327 nt
Filed under: Triticum aestivum (bread wheat)
Lineage: Eukaryota; Viridiplantae; Streptophyta; Magnoliopsida; Poales; Poaceae
Description: partial small subunit ribosomal RNA
Source: RNAcentral
AUGUUUGGUCACAAGACGACCAGUCUUGGCAAACCAUAUAUGCUGAGCCUUCCGAUCCCUGCACUCCGGUUGCUACCUGUGGACCUUGCAUGGUCUGUGACGACUGACGGCAAUAAGCAGCCAUCCUGUGACUUUAUGGAGAGCUUCUCUCAGAAGUCACCGCAGGAUUGGGAAAUUAAUGUUCGAACAGGAGGAUGCAUCAGAAAUACACCUUUAUAUUGCAGCACUAGUGGUAGCAACACAAACAUGACAAGUUCAACAGAUAUGUUCUACCCCAUUGCUCAAGUUACAUUGCCAUACAACCCGCAAAGCUUAGAUAAAAUAUAA